This 253-nucleotide ribosomal RNA is filed under the name uncultured bacterium. RNAcentral describes it as "partial 16S ribosomal RNA". It matches the Rfam family "Bacterial small subunit ribosomal RNA", at positions 524 to 776 of the family's 1533-position model. The record is from RNAcentral.
GACGUAGGGCGCGAGCGUUGUCCGGAUUUAUUGGGCGUAAAGAGCUCGUAGGCGGCUUGUUAAGUCGAACGUGAAAUCCCCGGGCUCAACCCGGGAACUGCGUCCGAUACUGGCAGGCUUGAAUCCGGGAGAGGGAUGCGGAAUUCCAGGUGUAGCGGUGAAAUGCGUAGAUAUCUGGAGGAACACCGGUGGCGAAGGCGGCAUCCUGGACCGGCAUUGACGCUGAGGCGCGAAAGCCAGGGGAGCAAACGGG